RNAcentral lists this ribosomal RNA (1003 nucleotides) under uncultured bacterium. RNAcentral's name for it is "bacterial SSU rRNA". It matches the Rfam family "Bacterial small subunit ribosomal RNA", at positions 80 to 1097 of the family's 1533-position model. The record is from RNAcentral.
GCAGUCGACGAUAUAAUGGCGAACGGGUGAGUAACACGUAAGCAACCUACCCUCAAGACCGGGACAACCCCGCGAAAGCGAGGCUAAUACCGGAUGUGGUCCCCGGAAGGCAUCUUCUGGUGAUUAAAUCCCGCAAGGGGCUUAAGGAUGGGCUUGCGUCCUAUCAGCUAGUUGGUGAGGUAACGGCUCACCAAGGCAAUGACGGGUAGCUGGUCUGAGAGGACGACCAGCCACAAGGGAACUGAGAUACGGUCCCUACUCCUACGGGAGGCAGCAGUGAGGAAUUUUCCGCAAUGGGCGAAAGCCUGACGGAGCGACGCCGUGUGUGGGAUGAAGUUUUUCGGAAUGUAAACCACUGUCAGAGGGGAAGAUAUUGACGGUACCCUCAGAGGAAGGCCCGGCUAACUACGUGCCAGCAGCCGCGGUAAUACGUAGGGGCCAAGCGUUGUCCGGAAUCACUGGGCGUAAAGGGCGUGUAGGCGGCCCGGUAAGUCAGAUGUUAAAUCUACGGGCUCAACCCGUAGCCGCAUUUGAUACUGCCAGGCUAGAGAGUGCUAGAGGAAAGCGGAACUUCCGGUGUAGCGGUGAAAUGCGUAGAUAUCGGAAGGAACACCAGUGGCGAAGGCGACUUUCUGGGGCACUCCUGACGCUGAGUGCGCGAAAGCGUGGGGAGCAAACGGGAUUAGAUACCCCGGUAGUCCACGCCCUAAACGAUGAGGGCUGGGUGUCGGUAGGGUUUCCUAUCGGUGCCGAAGCUAACGCGUUAAGCCCUCCGCCUGGGGACUACGAACGCAAGUUUAAAACUCAAAGGAAUAGACGGGGGCCCGCACAAGCAGCGGAGCGUGUGGUUCAAUUCGAUGUAACACGAAGAACCUUACCAGGGCUUGACAUGUAUGUGGUAAGGGAAGUGAAAGCGGACCGACCCGCAAGGGAGCAUACACAGGUGCUGCAUGGCUGUCGUCAGCUCGUGCCGUGAGGUGUUGGGUUAAGUCCCGCAACGAGC